RNAcentral lists this ribosomal RNA (486 nucleotides) under uncultured bacterium. RNAcentral's name for it is "bacterial SSU rRNA". It matches the Rfam family "Bacterial small subunit ribosomal RNA", at positions 28 to 507 of the family's 1533-position model. The record is from RNAcentral.
GAUGAACGCUAGCGGGAGCUUAACACAUGCAAGUCGAGGGGCAGCAUAGGGUAGCAAUACUCUGAUGGCGACCGGCAAACGGGUGAGUAACGCGUAUGCAACCUACCCUGUACAGGGGGAUAACCCGGAGAAAUUCGGACUAAUAUCCCGUAAUAAUAUCCGGAGGCAUCUUUGGAUAUUUAAAGUUCCGACGGUACGGGAUGGGCAUGCGUAACAUUAGCUGGUUGGUAAGGUAACGGCUUACCAAGGCUAUGAUGUUUAGGGGUCCUGAGAGGGUGGUCCCCCACACUGGUACUGAGACACGGACCAGACUCCUACGGGAGGCAGCAGUGAGGAAUAUUGGUCAAUGGGCGCAAGCCUGAACCAGCCAUCCCGCGUGCAGGAAGACGGCCCUAUGGGUUGUAAACUGCUUUUCCAGGGAGAGAAACUUACGCACGUGUUGCGUGACUGACGGUACCCUGGGAAUAAGCAUCGGCUAACUCCGUG